This 174-nucleotide ribosomal RNA is filed under the name uncultured bacterium. Its description in RNAcentral is "partial 16S ribosomal RNA". It matches the Rfam family "Bacterial small subunit ribosomal RNA", at positions 343 to 510 of the family's 1533-position model. The record is from RNAcentral.
GGGAGGCAGCAGUAGGGAAUUUUGGUCAAUGGGCGAAAGCCUGAACCAGCGACGCCGCGUGAAGGAUGAAGGCCCUCGGGUCGUAAACUUCUGUCAGGAGGGAAGAACGGCGCUUCAGUUAAUACAUGGGGCGUGUGACGGUACCUGCCCAACGACCCAUGCUCCCGUCCGCCA